AUUGAACGCUGGCGGCAGGCCUAACACAUGCAAGUCGAACGAGUGGCGGACGGGUGAGUAAUGUCUGGGAAACUGCCUGAUGGAGGGGGAUAACUACUGGAAACGGUAGCUAAUACCGCAUACCAUCGGAUGUGCCCAGAUGGGAUUAGCUAGUAGGUGGGGUAAAGGCUCACCUAGGCGACGAUCCCUAGCUGGUCUGAGAGGAUGACCAGGCACGCUGGAACUGGGACACGGGCCAGACUCCUACGGGGGGCAGCAGUGGGGAAUAUUUGACAAUGGGCGCAAGCCUGGUGCAGCCAUGCCGGGGGUAGGGAGAAGGCCUUCGGGGUGUAAAGGCCUUUCAGCGGGGAGGCGUUGCCCGCAGGAGAAGGACCGGCUAACUCCGGGGCAGCAGCCGGGGUAAUUC
Molecule: ribosomal RNA, 406 nt
Filed under: uncultured bacterium
Lineage: Bacteria
Description: partial 16S ribosomal RNA
Rfam family: Bacterial small subunit ribosomal RNA
Source: RNAcentral